RNAcentral lists this ribosomal RNA (253 nucleotides) under uncultured bacterium. RNAcentral's name for it is "partial 16S ribosomal RNA". It matches the Rfam family "Bacterial small subunit ribosomal RNA", at positions 524 to 776 of the family's 1533-position model. The record is from RNAcentral.
UACGCAGGGGGCAAGCGUUGUCCGGAUUUAUUGGGCGUAAAGAGCGUGUAGGCGGCCAUACAGGUCAGCUGUGAAAACUCGAGGCUCAACCUCGAGACGUCGGUUGAAACCGUAUGGCUAGAGUCCGGAAGAGGAGAGUGGAAUUCCCGGUGUAGCGGUGAAAUGCGCAGAUAUCGGGAAGAACACCCGUGGCGAAGGCGGCUCUCUGGGACGGUACUGACGCUGAGACGCGAAAGCGUGGGGAGCGAACAGG